GAGUUUGAUCCUGGCUCAGGAUGAACGCUGGCGGUAUGCUUAACACAUGCAAGUCGUACGAAAAAGAAUAUUUUUAGUGGCGAACGGGUGAGUAACGCGUGAGAAUUUGCCUUUAGGAAGAGGAUAAUCUCUAGAAAUAGAGGCUAAUACUCUAUAUGCCAUUUGAAAAUUUGGUGAAAAGAUUUUAUCUGCCUAGAGAGAAGCUCGCGUCUGAUUAGCUAGUUGGUAGGGUAAUGGCCUACAAAGGCGACGAUCAGUAGCUGGUCUGAGAGGAUGAUCAGCCACACUGGAACUGAGACACGGUCCAGACUCUUGCGAGAGGCAGCAGUGAGGAAUUUUCUGCAAUGGACGAAAGUCUGACAGAGCAAUACCGCGUGAGGGACAAAGGCCUACGGGUUGUAAACCUCUUUUCCCAAGGAGGAAGAUCUGACGUUACUUGGGGAAUAAGCAUCGGCUAACUCUGUGCCAGCAGCCGCGGUAAUACAAAGGAUGCAAGUGUUAUCCGGAAUUAUUGGGCGUAAAGCGUCUGCAGGUGGAUUUUUAAGUCUUUUGUUAAAUCUUUGAGCUCAACUCGAAAUCUGCAAAAGAAACUAUUUAUCUAGAGUAUGGUAGAGGUAAAGGGAAUUUUCAGUGGAGCGGUGAAAUGCGUAGAUAUUGGAAAGAACACCAAAGGCGAAGGCGCUUUACUGGGCUAUUACUGACACUCAGAGACGAAAGCUAGGGGAGCAAACAGGAUUAGGUACCCUGGUAGUCCUAGCUGUAAACGAUGGAUACUAGAUGUUGUUUCUUAUUAAAAGAAAUAGUAUUAUAGCUAACGCGUUAAGUAUCCCGCCUGGGAAGUAUGCUCGCAAGAGUGAAACUCAAAGGAAUUGACGGGAGCCUGCACAAGCGGUGGAGCAUGUGGUUUAAUUCGAUGCAACACGAAGAACCUUACCAGGACUUGACAUGAAGAGAAGUUUUUUGAAAGGAAGACGUGCUACGGCCUCUUACACAGGUGGUGCAUGGCUGUCGUCAGCUCGUGUCGUGAGAUGUUGGCUUAAGUGCCGCAACGAGCGCGACCCUUGUCUUUAGUUAAAAAUUCUAAAGAGACUGCCGAUGACAAAUCGGAGGAAGGCGAGGACGACGUCAAGUCAUCAUGCCCCUUACGUCCUGGGCUACACACGUGCUACAAUGGAUAUGACAAAAAGUUGCUUGUUUGUGAAAACUGGCGAAUCUAUAAACAUAUCCCUAGUUCGGAUUGUAGGCUGCAACUCGCCUACAUGAAGUUGGAAUCGCUAGUAAUCGCAGGUCAGCUAUACUGCGGUGAAUCCGUCCUCAGGCUUUGUACACACCGCCCGUCACACCAUGGAAGCUGAUUACACCCAAAGAUAUACUUAUGUUUAUUGAAGGUGGAGUUGGUGACUGGGGUGAAGUCGUAACAAGGUA
RNAcentral lists this ribosomal RNA (1425 nucleotides) under uncultured eukaryote. Its description in RNAcentral is "16S ribosomal RNA". It matches the Rfam family "Bacterial small subunit ribosomal RNA". The record is from RNAcentral.